This 479-nucleotide ribosomal RNA is filed under the name uncultured organism. RNAcentral's name for it is "bacterial SSU rRNA". It matches the Rfam family "Bacterial small subunit ribosomal RNA", at positions 28 to 500 of the family's 1533-position model. The record is from RNAcentral.
GAUGAACGCUAGCGGCAGGCUUAAUACAUGCAAGUCGAGGGGCAGCGCAGUGUAGCAAUACAUGGGCGGCGACCGGCAAACGGGUGCGGAACACGUACACAACCUUCCUAUAAGUGGGGGAUAGCCCAGAGAAAUUUGGAUUAAUACCCCGUAAGAUAACGAUGUGGCAUCACAAUGUUAUUAAAGCUACGGCGCUUAUUGAUGGGUGUGCGGCUGAUUAGAUAGUUGGCGGGGUAAAGGCCCACCAAGUCUACGAUCAGUAGCUGAUGUGAGAGCAUGAUCAGCCACACGGGCACUGAGACACGGGCCCGACUCCUACGGGAGGCAGCAGUAAGGAAUAUUGGUCAAUGGACGCAAGUCUGAACCAGCCAUGCCGCGUGAAGGAUUAAGGUCCUCUGGAUUGUAAACUUCUUUUAUAUGGGACGAAAAAAGGACAUUCUUGUCCGUCUGACGGUACCAUAUGAAUAAGCACCGGCUAA